Molecule: ribosomal RNA, 550 nt
Filed under: uncultured bacterium
Lineage: Bacteria
Description: bacterial SSU rRNA
Rfam family: Bacterial small subunit ribosomal RNA
Source: RNAcentral
UAGGGAAUCUUCCACAAUGGACGCAAGUCUGAUGGAGCAACGCCGCGUGAGUGAAGAAGGUCUUCGGAUCGUAAAACUCUGUUGUUAGAGAAGAACACGAGUGAGAGUAACUGUUCAUUCGAUGACGGUAUCUAACCAGCAAGUCACGGCUAACUACGCGCCAGCAGCCGCGGUAAUACGUAGGUGGCAAGCGUUGUCCGGAUUUAUUGGGCGUAAAGGGAACGCAGGCGGUCUUUUAAGUCUGAUGUGAAAGCCUUCGGCUUAACCGGAGUAGUGCAUUGGAAACUGGAAGACUUGAGUGCAGAAGAGGAGAGUGGAACUCCAUGUGUAGCGGUGGAAUGCGUAGAUAUAUGGAAGAACACCAGUGGCGAAGGCGGCUGCCUGGUCUGUAACUGACGCUGAGACUCGAAAGCAUGGGUAGCGAACAGGAUUAGAUACCCUGGUAGUCCAUGCCGUAAACGAUGAGUGCUAGGUGUUGGAGGGUUUCCGCCCUUCAGUGCCGGAGCUAACGCAUUAAGCACUCCGCCUGGGGAGUACGACCGCAAGGUUG